CCGGGGAGACACGCGUUUCCGGUUCUCCCCACCCCCACCUCCGACAAGUGCUAUGAGAGCACCCAGGGGCGCGGAGCUUGGCGGGAUCCUGAGAGCCGCGCCGAGCGGGGAUGUUGCGAGGCGGCAGGUCGGGCUUCCCACGUGGGACCCCAGGAUGUUCGGGCAAGCAAAUCAGUUUGAUCAACGUUGGGGAAACAGCGAAGUGCAGAGCAGCGGGUUUAAAGGUGGUCAGUUAACGGGUGUAGGAGAAAGAAGACGUGGUCAUCCGUUCGUCUCCAUCAAAGUGGGGUCCGACGCAGAGUAAUCACCACAUAGUGGCAAUCAAGUGGAAAAAGUCAAAAAGACCCUCUCAACUAAAGCGCAAACCGAGAGUCGGAACGUGGCGCCGGGGUCUGGAUUUGGAAAAUGGAUCGGGUGGAUGCGAAGGGUGAGCCGGCCUCGGGAGCGCGGAGUCUGGGGCGCGCCGCCGGCCCCAGACCCUGACCCGGGGUUGCUGAAGACUCCAAGCUUGAGUCUUCCCCCUCUGGGAAGCAGAUGGCCAGCGCACCUUCCCUGGAGGCACCCAGGCUUGACGUGAAAGGUGCCGACGGCGUGGCGGCCAGGAGCAGCUCCCUGCAGAGCGCGCAGCCGGGGUCGGCUCCCAGAGUGUGACCGCGCGGGGGCGACAUCCUCCUCUCGGGGACGGUUUCCUUUUGUUUUCCAGACUCUAACCCCAGCCCCUUCACUCCACCCCGCCUCCGCAGUCACCUGGUGAUUCGCGGCAAGUUAAAAGAACUGGAGAGCUGUUGAAUUCCCCAUUCCCGGUCCCCGCCGCGGGAGCGUCUCCUUUGAUCUGAGGCGGGGCCGGGGCAUUGAUAACCUUAAGAGCUGCGCUGGGGAUUCUCAUGGCAGCCGGAGUUGAGAACCGCAGGCCCCAACCACUCCCUCUCCUCAGGCUGGGCCUCUCUCUCCAGAUUUCUUCAGCCUUCCAACUUCCAGUCCUUGACUGGGACUGGAAAGGUGAACUUUGUAAACAAAGUGAACUUUGAAGACCACCAGUGAGAGUGUUCCACUGCUCUCUCUUCUCUCCCUUUCCUUUUUUUUUUCAUCGCCUCCCUCUUAACCUCUUUGCUUUCUGUCUUACCUACCCUACUUCUCUGUGCUUCCUCUGCCUCUCUUAACUUCCCUUUUACCUUUUCCUUUUUUAAAAACUCCUUCCCUUUAUUUUGCUGUUUCCCUCUCUUGGCCCCUUUCCUUUGGGGAGCCAGCAUUGGGCGGGAAAAGCACGGGCUUUGGAGCCAGAGAGGUCCGGAAAAUUCAAUUCGCCACAGACACUUAAAAUUGUGUGACCUUGGAUAAUAUAAAGCUCCUUAGAUCCCAACUGUCCUCCUUAAAACCUGGUCCCUCUCCUCCAUUCCUUUUCCCUGUUCCCCAUCUUUUCUCCUGCAAUCAUUCACAUGACUAAAAAGCUAGCAAAAAAAAAAAACACAACUUCCCAACCUCUCCAGGUGUCUACUAUGAAUAUUUGAAAAUAAUAAUUAAUCCUUGGGAAAAAAGUGUGUAUGUUGUAGAUCAUACUGUUAAAUAUUCAGUCUGCCUUCUAGAGGGCCUAUCCCUGGAACCCCUUCCAAGAGAGAAAUGCCUCCCCACCCUAUUGAGUUCAGGCAUGGUUGUGGACUUGCUUUGGCCAAUGGAAUGUGGGUGGCGAUGACAUUUGCCACCCCUGAACAGGAGCAUCAGGUGCCUUUCACCCCCGUGCCAUUGUUUGUUUUCCAUCUGCUCUAGAACUGUAUGUCCCAGAUGGGAGUGGGCCAUGGGGUCCUUAACCCUGAGUCCCCAGUUGAAGCAGAGCCACAGCUGGCCUGUGAAAUACAUGAAACAGGAGUAAGGAACAAACCUCUGUUGAGGUAACCCUUUGAGAUUUGGGGGUGUUACUAAAGUAUAUCUUAAAGAAGCCAACACAACACAGGUGUGAAAGAGAUGUGAAAUUUCAAAAAUUAGCUUGAAUGUUUUAGUAUGUAUAGCUUAGUUUUGCUUUUCUGUGAAAUAGAUCCUUUUUCAGAGCCCUCCCCAGCUCAGCAUGGCCCCCUUAAUCGCCCUACACCUGUCAGCAUCAACCUAAGACUGCCUAACACCAUUUCAUCAAACAGUGAUUCUAAGAAUUGAAGACAGUACUUCUAGCAGUCUUGCUAGGGAUGUGCGGAAAAGUAGAUUUACUUUCUCCCUUAUUUAAAAGCAGUUCCAAAGUGCAGUGUAAUUGUAAUGUAACAAUUAAUAAAAUAUGUGCUUUUUCCUUCUGGAAAGAUAGACUGGGCUCUUUUUCCCUCGUGCUGUCCCAGACCCAUACAACUAAAAAGGAAACAUCUCCUCUUAGCUCAGUGAGUUCCCCAUGCACCUUUGGAUUCCUGGACAAUUUCAUAACCACUCAACCCCUUGUUGAAUUUAGGGUAAGGGUAAAAUACAAAUAAGUCCACCCAGAAGUGUUUGGUUGAUAGCUUUUUAUUUUUAUCUGCAUGACUAAAAUUGCCUUUCCCCAAUCAUAUGACACCUCUCCAGAAAAGAACGGUAGAAGGGCACUUACUCUUUUGUACCUCCGGUUUCCUAGAACUAGUCCAUGUACGAGGUUGCAGUAGAAGCAGCCACCUUGGUACAAUGGGAUCCCUCCCCCAUCCUCCCCUUGGCCCAAGGUGGAUACUCAACUCAGGCUGGGUAAAUAAUUCUCUCUGCUGAGCAAGAAUUUGGAGUGGUUGUUGGACCUCUGUUGCUGUUGCCUGUCCAGCACCCAUUUUCCAUUUUGCUGGUAGCAGUUCCCUUCUGCUAAUAGUCAAGAGCCCUGCCUCUGGGGCCUGACAGUCUGGGUUCAAAGCCAGCUCUGUAAUUUGCUAGCAGUGUGGCCUUAGGCAAGAUGCUUUAACUCAUAUCUCAAUUUCCCCAUUAUAAAGUGAGAAUAAUGUGCUGGUUAAAUUAAUAAACAAAGAAGAUAAUAAUCUGAGAUUAAAAUAAAUUGGCCUAUCAAAAGUACUUAGAAGCGUGUCCGACAGUACACUUCUUGGAGGAUUUAUGUAGUGUUUGCUGUGGCUGUCAUGUAUUUGGGAUGGGGCUAACUUCAACCCCAGCUCCAGGUUUGGGCACGUGUUCCAGGCUUGGCCAAUGGGCAUAUUGCACUCCAUCAGGCCAUGGGUGGGUCAGAGGCGGGCAGUGACCAAAGCUGGGCUUAACCAGACCCCAUCCUGAAACUUGCUGGGACUCUCAGAGAACCAGCCCAUUGAGGAAGGAGAGAAGUCUGGAGGUCCUGUUUGGUUAUCUGGUCCCAAGAGGGCAGAACCAGCAGGAAAUGAAACCAGUGCAGGUGAGGAUAAAGGGAGAGGUGCUUCCUCAUGAGCCCUUGCAUCCAGCUGGCCUGCAAUUUUCAGUUAUUUGAACCACUAAAUCCCCUUAUUAGCUGAAGCCAGUUUGAGCUUCUUUUUUUGUCCUCUGCAGAAGAAAACAAAAUCUAAUACAUUGAGUCUGGGCCAGGCCCUUGAACAAAGGAGAUAAAAAGUCGUGCCUGGGGGGCCAUCCCCAGUGUGUCAUGCAGAUGGAGAAGCCAAUCAGCACACAGAGAAAAUACCAGGCUUUCCAGCGGCUCUCCGGGGCCUUGUCCUGGGCUGUACCUGGGCUUUUGGGUCCUAUGCCAGUGUAACCUAAUAAUAAAUGUCCCUUUCUUGAUUAAGCUGGCUUGAGUAAGUGCCUGACACAUGCAACUAGAAUCCAAAAGAAAACUUAAAAUGGUUAUUGUUGUUGUUUGUUUUUAGGAAGUAACAUAAGGAGGACACAAAAUAUCUAUUAGUUCCUUAUAGAUUAUUUGGUGGUAGCUGACUGAUCAUCAGAUUUGCCAAACAACCUAUACCCUAAAAAGUAUAGGUGAAGAUAUCAAUAUCUUCACCACCCUUGCUGUCAGCAAAUGACCUGAGUUAUGAGUUUGCAUAAAUCUGAAUAAAUGUUUGCUAAAUAGAA
Long non-coding RNA from Choloepus didactylus (southern two-toed sloth), 3975 nucleotides. RefSeq lists it as uncharacterized. The record is from RefSeq and is a predicted model, not a curated record. NCBI's taxonomy places the organism in Eukaryota, Metazoa, Chordata, Mammalia, Pilosa, Megalonychidae. The transcript is spliced from 2 exons.